CGGUGCGUCGUCUCCGGUGAUCUUGGUGUUGAGGAGGCACUUGCCGACGUAGGGCUCCUUGGGCCUGUACUUGUUGGUGACGACGCCCUCCUCCUGCUUCUUGGAGACCUUCUUGGGCUUGGCGUCCGCCUCCACGGCCGCGGUGUCGGUGGUAGACGUCUGCGCCCGGAUGACGGCCCGCGCGGCCCUCGGGCGGUAGGAGAGGAAGUGGGCGGCGGCAGGGGACGCCGGCGCCUUGGCGGCCGGCGAGGAGGAGAGGGAGACGGCCACGGCCGUGACGGCGGCCAUGGCUCGCGAAAAUCAGCUGUUGAAUGCGCGGGGAGGAGAAGGGAAGGGAGGGAAGAGCAGGACGGGGAAAUCCGAACUGGAGGAGGCGUGAAGAAGAAGAUGAGCUCCGGAC
This 400-nucleotide long non-coding RNA is filed under the name Setaria italica (foxtail millet). RNAcentral's name for it is "long non-coding RNA (SITA_LNC000534)". Lineage: Eukaryota; Viridiplantae; Streptophyta; Magnoliopsida; Poales; Poaceae. The record is from RNAcentral.